Molecule: long non-coding RNA, 2493 nt
Organism: Hylaeus volcanicus
Lineage: Eukaryota; Metazoa; Arthropoda; Insecta; Hymenoptera; Colletidae
Exons: 3
Source: RefSeq, a predicted model, not a curated record
CUAAGAUAUGGACAACAUCUUAAAGUACUGGUAAUGCCCAAUGUACCAAAUACCUUAUAUGUUUCCAAAUUAUACUGAAUAAAAUAUAAAUAUACAAAAAAAUUGUUCCCAACAUCCUGAAUCUCAAAAAAUAUAGCAAUACUCCUCCUACAAAACAUGCAGCAAAAGGUCGAAGCAAAAUAAGCUUAAAAUGUUACCAGAUUAUAGCAUACUGCACUAUACUAAUGCAUAUUAUUCUGAAGCCCAGUACGUAUCAUGUUUUGUGUCGAGAUGCAAUUAAGGAGGGAGAAAAGGGAGGACAGAAGAAGACGGAGAACUUGGUAGAAAGAUACGGAACCAACACGAACGAGUCGGGUUCUCGACGCCCACCUGAUCACACAACAAGGAGUAGAAAGACAAUCGUGCUGAAACUGAACGUGCGCUGUAUCGUUUCGUUCCAACGAAAGUACAAACUUACUUUACCACCUUUGGUUCACGACGAAAUUGCAUUAUUGCAAAACCCAACGAAUAUCACAGCAUUUAGACGUGUAAUGUGUACACAUUGUAUACACAUGCAUUUCGUGUACGUAAGGUGGCAAGGUGUGCAAGUUUUAUCAGAAAUACAAUAGUCUCGCAUAGGCAGCGGCUUAAGUUACGAGAUAAGCACACAAGAAAUUACGAAGUCGUUCGAAAACAUUCAUGAACCCCCACCGGAAUACUCACUCAUUCUUCUACGCAGGAGAAAAAAACGUGAUUGAGGAAACCGGAGAACGUUGUAACGAGAACUAAAAGUUGGAGGGGCUGCACUCCACUGCAUACAUCCAAGGCACCAGCUUCUUGCCUUGCAAGUAGAUAUGCAAACAAUAUAUCGAUAUACUGAAGGAUAUCGAUACACCUGUCCCGAGCCACUUGUCCGGACGCGUUUCGAACAUAUUUUACUCGAUGUUUGUCGCGCAUCGAUGCAUCGAUGUAAUAUUGUAUCGAUAUUCGAGCAAUUGGUUUUUUACAUUCUUUCUCGAGGUAAACGUUACUGAAAACUUUAAGUAAUAUUGCGUUCACUCACUCAUAUUACUCGGCAUGAUCCUGAAUUGAUGGGCGAUCCAUUUAAACGCACUAUUAUUUAUUCGUUGGUAACAUUCGCACAAUUUUUAAAACAACGAGUCCGCCAAUUUUUUUUUUUUUGUUAACAAAAUACCGCCUUGCACACCACUGUGCACACCGACAUGCACCGACGUGCACUGUCGUACUACGCAUGCGUGCUCGCGACAAGUGUAAGGAGCUGAGGCUCAUGGCGGAUUCUCAGUAAGAUAUCUAUUCUUGUUAUUAGAGUAAAGCAGAACGAACCGACGUGUAAUAAACCAAGACAGAACGGAAUUAGAAGGGAUAUUCUUACGCGCGCAAUAAGAGAAACACGAACGGCCGCAACAAAUUAUUAGACUAAGCACCUCUUCGCUGCAUGCCUAUCAUACGUAGGUAGAGCUUAUUUUUGAAAUGUAUUUCGAUAGAGACUGUUGAACUUUUAGAGAUGAUACGUUCAAGAUAUCCAGACGAAACGGGAUCGGUAUGAGUAAAACGAAGAAAAAUUCAACAAUGUAACAUUAAUAGACAUUACUUCGCGGCAUCGAAUAGUGCGCCAAACGAGAAAUAAAAUAUGCAUUACGAAAAUGGCGCGAUUUUUUUGUGAUAUUUUUAAAACUUCAAUCUUUGAACGUCUUUCUCAAAAUACUGCUUUUUUUUCAUUUAUUUAAAAAUGUAAAUGAUUCUAUUUUUACAAGAAAACUUGUAAUAUUUAAUAGCUAAAUUUAAUUUUCUGUUAUAUUUUAAUUUUAUUGUAUUUUUACAAACUCUACGUAAAUUAUAUUUAAAGUAAUAGAACAUACUAGUACGAACAUUUACGCAGACAUAUGUUUGUCGACUGAAGAGUAUUGAUAACGUGUAUAAAACCACAAAUUUCCGCGUUCUUAAGUUUCCGUAUCAAAGUCAUGUAAUCUUUAUCCAUGCGUUUAUAGUAUUACUAAUAUAUUCGACUCGACAAUUUGUUUAAGAUUAUCAUUAACGUAUUUUACGUUCUGAACCGGUUGAUUCAUGGCAUUAUUGAAAAUUAAUGAAUACUAAAAAAGAAUCAUUAUCAAGUACGAAAAUGAAAUAUGUAUUAUUCACUUUGUUACUAAAUAUAAAAAUUGAAAUAUACUAACAUAGUGGCGUAAAUAUUUGCUAGUGAAAUACUUUUAUAUUCAAGCAACCGUAUUUUAAUUAAUACUGUUCAACAGCUUAAAUAUGAACGUAAACUGAAUCGUCAUUGAAAGUAAUAAAAAAAAAUCAUACAAAGGAUGGGUAACAUACAUCAUAAAACUUCAACAUUUGCAAAUUCGCUUGUUUAUUUCAUGUUGUUUCUUGUUUAAAAACCGUGAUUAAGGUCAGUUUAGUAUUCUUCGGCUCCCUCUCCUUCGCCCUCGGCGGAAUCCAUACCAACCUCCUCGUAAUCUUUCUCCAAAGCAGCAAGAUCUUCACGUG